Molecule: ribosomal RNA, 1333 nt
Filed under: uncultured bacterium
Lineage: Bacteria
Description: bacterial SSU rRNA
Rfam family: Bacterial small subunit ribosomal RNA
Source: RNAcentral
CGAGCGAACAGAUAAGGAGCUUGCUCCUUUGACGUUAGCGGCGGACGGGUGAGUAACACGUGGGUAACCUACCUAUAAGACUGGAAUAACUCCGGGAAACCGGGGCUAAUGCCGGAUAACAUUUAGAACCGCAUGGUUCUAAAGUGAAAGAUGGUUUUGCUAUCACUUAUAGAUGGACCCGCGCCGUAUUAGCUAGUUGGUAAGGUAACGGCUUACCAAGGCAACGAUACGUAGCCGACCUGAGAGGGUGAUCGGCCACACUGGAACUGAGACACGGUCCAGACUCCUACGGGAGGCAGCAGUAGGGAAUCUUCCGCAAUGGGCGAAAGCCUGACGGAGCAACGCCGCGUGAGUGAUGAAGGUCUUCGGAUCGUAAAACUCUGUUAUUAGGGAAGAACAAAUGUGUAAGUAACUAUGCACGUCUUGACGGUACCUAAUCAGAAAGCCACGGCUUACUACGUGCCAGCAGCCGCGGUAAUACGUAGGUGGCAAACGUUAUCCGGAAUUAUUGGGCGUAAGCGCGCGUAGGCGGUUUCUUAAGUCUGAUGUGAAAGCCCCGGCCUCGGGGGAGGGUCAUUGGAAACUGGGAAACUUGAGUGCAUUUGAGGAAAGUGGAAUUCCAUGUGUAGCGGUGAAAUGCGCAGAGAUAUGGAGGAACACCAGUGGCGAAGGCGACUUUCUGGUCUGUAACUGACGCUGAUGUGCGAAAGCGUGGGGAUCAAACAGGAUUAGAUACCCUGGUAGUCCACGCCGUAAACGAUGAGUGCUAAGUGUUAGGGGGUUUCCGCCCCUUAGUGCUGCAGCUAACGCAUUAAGCACUCCGCCUGGGGAGUACGACCGCAAGGUUGAAACUCAAAGGAAUUGACGGGGACCCGCACAAGCGGUGGGGCAUGUGGUUUAAUUCGAAGCAACGCGAAGAACCUUACCAAAUCUUGACAUCCUUUGACAACUCUAGAGAUAGAGCCUUCCCCUUCGGGGGACAAAGUGACAGGUGGUGCAUGGUUGUCGUCAGCUCGUGUCGUGAGAUGUUGGGUUAAGUCCCGCAACGAGCGCAACCCUUAAACUUAGUUGCCAGCAUUUAGUUGGGCACUCUAAGUUGACUGCCGGUGACAAACCGGAGGAAGGUGGGGAUGACGUCAAAUCAUCAUGCCCCUUAUGAUUUGGGCUACACACGUGCUACAAUGGACAAUACAAAGGGCAGCUAAACCGCGAGGUCAUGCAAAUCCCAUAAAGUUGUUCUCAGUUCGGAUUGUAGUCUGCAACUCGACUACAUGAAGCUGGAAUCGCUAGUAAUCGUAGAUCAGCAUGCUACGGUGAAUACGUUCCCGGGUCU